Molecule: ribosomal RNA, 484 nt
Filed under: uncultured bacterium
Lineage: Bacteria
Description: partial 16S ribosomal RNA
Rfam family: Bacterial small subunit ribosomal RNA
Source: RNAcentral
AUUGAACGCUGGCGGCAUGCUUUACACAUGCAAGUCGAACGGCAGCGCGGGCUUCGGCCUGGCGGCGAGUGGCGAACGGGUGAGUAAUACAUCGGAACGUGCCCAGUAGUGGGGGAUAGCUCGGCGAAAGCCGGAUUAAUACCGCAUACGACCUGAGGGUGAAAGCGGGGGAUCUUCGGACCUCGCGCUAUUGGAGCGGCCGGUGGCAGAUUAGCUAGUUGGUGGGGUAAAGGCCUACCAAGGCGACGAUCUGUAGCUGGUCUGAGAGGACGACCAGCCACACUGGGACUGAGACACGGCCCAGACUCCUACGGGAGGCAGCAGUGGGGAAUUAUGGACAAUGGGCGAAAGCCUGAUCCAGCAAUGCCGCGUGUGUGAUGAAGGCCUUCGGGUUGUAAAGCACUUUUGGCGGGAACGAAAAGGACUGUGCCAAUACCACGGUUCGAUGACGGUACCCGCAGAAUAAGCACCGGCUAACUACGUG